CAGUCGCCGCGGUAAUACGUAGGGUGCAAGCGUUAAUCGGAAUUACUGGGCGUAAAGCGUGCGCAGGCGGUUUGUUAAGACAGAUGUGAAAUCCCCGGGCUCAACCUGGGAACUGCAUUUGUGACUGGCAGGCUAGAGUAUGGCAGAGGGGGGUGGAAUUCCGCGUGUAGCAGUGAAAUGCGUAGAUAUGCGGAGGAACACCGAUGGCGAAGGCAGCCCCCUGAGCCAAUACUGACGCUCAUGCACGAAAGCGUGGGGAGCAAACAGGAUUAGAUACCCGCGUAGUCCCUGUCUCUUAUAC
Molecule: ribosomal RNA, 301 nt
Filed under: uncultured bacterium
Lineage: Bacteria
Description: partial 16S ribosomal RNA
Rfam family: Bacterial small subunit ribosomal RNA
Source: RNAcentral